CAGCAGCCGCGGUAAUACGGAGGGAGCUAGCGUUGUUCGGAAUUACUGGGCGUAAAGCGCACGUAGGCGGUUAUUCAAGUCAGAGGUGAAAGCCCGGGGCUCAACCCCGGAACUGCCUUUGAAACUAGAUGACUGGAAUCUUGGAGAGGUCAGUGGAAUUCCGAGUGUAGAGGUGAAAUUCGUAGGUAUUCGGAAGAACACCAGUGGCGAAGGCGACUGACUGGACAAGUAUUGACGCUGAGGUGCGAAAGCGUGGGGAGCAAACAGGAUUAGAUACCCCUGUAGUCCCUGUCUCUUAUAC
This 301-nucleotide ribosomal RNA is filed under the name uncultured bacterium. Its description in RNAcentral is "partial 16S ribosomal RNA". It matches the Rfam family "Bacterial small subunit ribosomal RNA", at positions 509 to 807 of the family's 1533-position model. The record is from RNAcentral.